This 454-nucleotide ribosomal RNA is filed under the name uncultured bacterium. RNAcentral's name for it is "bacterial SSU rRNA". It matches the Rfam family "Bacterial small subunit ribosomal RNA", at positions 340 to 786 of the family's 1533-position model. The record is from RNAcentral.
UACGGAAGGCAGCAGGGGGAAUAUUGCACAAUGGGCGAAAGCCUGAUGCAGCUAUGCCGCGUGUAUGAAGAAGGCCUUAGGGUUGUAAAGUACUUUCAUCGGGGAGGAAAAACAAAACUAAUAAUUUUAUUUCUUGACGUUACCCGAAAAAGAAGCACCGGCUAACUCCGUGCCAGCAGCCGCGGUAAUACGGAGGGUGCUAGCGUUAAUCAGAAUUACUGGGCGUAAAGAGCACGUAGGUGGUUUUUUUAAGUCAGAUGUGAAAUCCCUGGGCUUAACCUGGAAACUGCAUUUUGAAACUGAAAUACUAGAGUAUCGUAGAGGGAGGUAGAAUUCUAGGUGUAGCGGUGAAAUGCGUAGAUAUCUGGAGGAAUACCUGUGGCGAAAGCGGCCUCCUAAACGAAUACUGACACUGAGGUGCGAAAGCGUGGGGAGCAAACAGGGAUUAGAUACC